This 254-nucleotide ribosomal RNA is filed under the name uncultured bacterium. RNAcentral describes it as "partial 16S ribosomal RNA". It matches the Rfam family "Bacterial small subunit ribosomal RNA", at positions 524 to 776 of the family's 1533-position model. The record is from RNAcentral.
UACGUAGGGGGCAAGCGUUGUUCGGAAUGACUGGGCGUAAAGGGUGCGUAGGCGGUGUAGCAAGUUAGAAGUGAAAUACCUAGGGCUUAACUCAGGUGCUGCUUCUAAAACUGCUAUACUUGAGUGCAGUAGAGGAAAGUGGAAUUCCUAGUGUAGCGGUGGAAUGCGUAGAUAUUAGGAGGAACAUCAGUGGCGAAGGCGACUUUCUGGACUGUAACUGACGCUGAGGCACGAAAGUGUGGGGAGCAAACAGG